Molecule: ribosomal RNA, 879 nt
Filed under: uncultured bacterium
Lineage: Bacteria
Description: bacterial SSU rRNA
Rfam family: Bacterial small subunit ribosomal RNA
Source: RNAcentral
AGAGUUUGAUCCUGGCUCAGGACGAACGCUGGCGGCGUGCCUAAUACAUGCAAGUCGAGCGAGCGGAACCAACAGAUUUACUUCGGUAAUGACGUUGGGAAAGCGAGCGGCGGAUGGGUGAGUAACACGUGGGGAACCUGCCCCUAAGUCUGGGAUACCAUUUGGAAACAGGUGCUAAUACCGGAUAAUAAAGCAGAUCGCAUGAUCAGCUUUUGAAAGGCGGCGUAAGCUGUCGCUAAGGGAUGGCCCCGCGGUGCAUUAGCUAGUUGGUAAGGUAACGGCUUACCAAGGCGACGAUGCAUAGCCGAGUUGAGAGACUGAUCGGCCACAUUGGGACUGAGACACGGCCCAAACUCCUACGGGAGGCAGCAGUAGGGAAUCUUCCACAAUGGACGCAAGCCUGAUGGAGCAACGCCGCGUGAGUGAAGAAGGUUUUCGGAUCGUAAAGCUCUGUUGUUGGUGAAGAAGGAUAGAGGUAGUAACUGGCCUUUAUUUGACGGUGAUCAACCAGAAAGUCACGGCUAACUACGUGCCAGCAGCCGCGGUAAUACGUAGGUGGCAAGCGUUGUCCGGAUUUAUUGGGCGUAAAGCGAGCGCAGGCGGAAAAAUAAGUCUAAUGUGAAAGCCCUCGGCUUAACCGAGGAACUGCAUCGGAAACUGUUUUUCUUGAGUGCAGAAGAGGAGAGUGGAACUCCAUGUGUAGCGGUGGAAUGCGUAGAUAUAUGGAAGAACACCAGUGGCGAAGGCGGCUCUCCGGUCUGCAACUGACGCUGAGGCUCGAAAGCAUGGGUAGCGAACAGGAUUAGAUACCCUGGUAGUCCAUGCCGUAAACGAUGAGUGCUAAGUGUUGGGAGGUUUCCGCCUCUCAGUGCUGCAGCU